UGAGUACGAGCUGCUACGGCAGCGAAGUGGGUGACGUCAAGCUUCCAAGAAAAGCCCUAUACCCGUUAAGGCAUGAUGGCCUGUACCCGAAACCGACACAGGUGGGGUGGUAGAGAAUACCGAGGGGCGCGAGGUAACUCUCUCUAAGGAACUCGGCAAAAUGGCCCCGUAACUUCGGGAGAAGGGGUGCCACCGCAAGGUGGUCGCAGUGAAGAGGCCCAGGCGACUGUUUACCAAAAACACAGGUCUCCGCUAAGUCGCAAGACGAUGUAUGGGGGCUGACGCCUGCCCAGUGCCGGAAGGUUAAGGAAGCUGGUCAGCGUAAGCGAAGCUAGCGACUGAAGCCCCGGUGAACGGCGGCCGUAACAAUAACGGUCCUAAGGUAGCGAAAUUCCUUGUCGGGUAAGUUCCGACCCGCACGAAAGGCGUAACGAUCUGGGCGCUGUCUCGGAGAGAGGCUCGGCGAAAUAGAAUUGUCUGUGAAGAUGCGGACUACGUGCACCCGGACAGAAAGACCCUAUGAAGCUUUACUGUAGCUUGGUAUUGUGCUCGGGCUCGGAAUGCGCAGGAUAGGUGGGAGGCUAUGAACCAUUGCUUGUGGGUGAUGGUGAGCCACUGGUGAGAUACCACUCUUUCCGAGCUAGAGUUCUAACAGCCACCCGUUAUCCGGGGGCUGGACAGUAUCAGGUGGGCAGUUUGACUGGGGCGGUCGCCUCCUAAAAGGUAACGGAGGCGCGCAAAGGUUUGCUCAGGCUGGUUGGAAAUCAGCCGACGAGUGUAAAAGCAGAAGCAAGCUUGACUGUGAGACCUACAAGUCGAACAGGGAGGAAACUCGGCUUUAGUGAUCCGACGGUUCUGCGUGGAAGGGCCGUCGCUCAACGGAUAAAAGUUACUCUAGGAUAACAGGCUGAUCUCCCCCAAGAGUUCACAUCGACGGGGAGGUUUGGCACCUCGAUGUCGGCUCAUCGCAACCUGGGGCUGAAGUCGGUCCCAAGGGUUGGGCUGUUCGCCCAUUAAAGCGGUACGCGAGCUGGGUUCAGAACGUCGUGAGACAGUUCGGUCCAUAUCCGGUGCAUGCGCAGGAAUAUUGAGAGGAUUUCUCCCUAGUACGAGAGGACCGGGAGGUACGCACCUCUGGUGUACCAGUUAUCGUGCCAACGGUAAACGCUGGGUAGCCAUGUGCGGAGAGGAUAACCGCUGAAAGCAUCUAAGUGGGAAGCCCACCUCAAGAUGAGUAUUCCCAUGGGGUAACCCAGUAAGGUCACGGGAAGAACACCCGUUGAUAGGCUCUACGUGGAAGCGCAGUAAUGUGUGAAGCGGAGGAGUACUAAUAGACCGAGGGCUUGAUC
This 1349-nucleotide ribosomal RNA is filed under the name metagenome. RNAcentral's name for it is "bacterial LSU rRNA". It matches the Rfam family "Bacterial large subunit ribosomal RNA", at positions 1564 to 2925 of the family's 2925-position model. The record is from RNAcentral.